RNAcentral lists this ribosomal RNA (490 nucleotides) under uncultured bacterium. Its description in RNAcentral is "partial 16S ribosomal RNA". It matches the Rfam family "Bacterial small subunit ribosomal RNA", at positions 30 to 507 of the family's 1533-position model. The record is from RNAcentral.
AUUGAACGCUGGCGGCAGGCCUAACACAUGCAAGUCGAACGGUAACAGGAAGCAGCUUGCUGCUUUGCUGACGAGUGGCGGACGGGUGAGUAAUGUCUGGGAAACUGCCUGAUGGAGGGGGAUAACUACUGGAAACGGUAGCUAAUACCGCAUAACGUCGCAAGACCAAAGAGGGGGACCUUCGGGCCUCUUGCCAUCGGAUGUGCCCAGAUGGGAUUAGUUAGUAGGUGGGGUAAAGGCUCACCUAGGCGACGAUCCCUAGCUGGUCUGAGAGGAUGACCAGCCACACUGGAACUGAGACACGGUCCAGACUCCUACGGGAGGCAGCAGUGGGGAAUAUUGCACAAUGGGCGCAAGCCUGAUGCAGCCAUGCCGCGUGUAUGAAGAAGGCCUUCGGGUUGUAAAGUACUUUCAGCGGGGAGGAAGGGAGUAAAGUUAAUACCUUUGCUCAUUGACGUUACCCGCAGAAGAAGCACCGGCUAACUCCGUG